UGCCUAAACCCGCAGGACUUCCUACGGGCAUGGCUCAAAAGACCCGAUGAAGAUACUGAACCCCACGUUCAGCGACUCUUCAUCGGGCCAUAUCAGGAAACUGGUAUGGGGUCGCAAGACCU
This 122-nucleotide small RNA is filed under the name unclassified sequences. RNAcentral's name for it is "LOOT RNA". It matches the Rfam family "LOOT RNA". From Rfam's summary of the family: Latescibacteria, OD1/Parcubacteria, OP11, TM7. The record is from Rfam by way of RNAcentral.